This is a long non-coding RNA of Neopelma chrysocephalum (saffron-crested tyrant-manakin), 369 nucleotides long. RefSeq lists it as uncharacterized. The transcript is spliced from 3 exons. Lineage: Eukaryota; Metazoa; Chordata; Aves; Passeriformes; Pipridae. The record is from RefSeq and is a predicted model, not a curated record.
CUCAAGGGGAAUGAACUUUUGUGUGACAACUCUCCUCAUAGCAAGGCUGCAAACAGGAUAGAGACUAGACUUUAGCAGAUAUUGAAGUCUGAAGUUCAGAAGUGAAUUCAUGUACACCAGAUUUAAACAUCCAACACUGGGGGACUGUUCUCCCUAGCAAGGAACAGCAAUGCUCUGAUUUCACACAUGACACUCACUGUCAUGCAGACCUGGAAAGAUAUCUCUGAAUCUCUGGAUCACCAGAUGCUACAUAGGUACAUCUGUACCAUAAAGGCAACAAGCACAGUUUUGCCUGUGAAGAAAGAGAUCUGCAUAAGGCCUUGCUGUCUGCUUGAUACAGACACCAGAAUUUCUAAUGCGUUUUGCAGU